UCCAAGCCCCUUACAGGCUCCCUGCUGAGCCCUGUAAACAGUUGCGACUCGGCAGGGAGCCUGUAAGCACCUGGGACCCUCAGAAUAUCUGUGUGUCAGCGUACUUUAUUCACCGGUCAUUGGGUCAGGGGUCUGCAAGGGACAGACUCCCCACAGCUGGUGACCCCUCGAGAGGAGCCCUGCCCCCAGCUGGUGCCCCAUGUGAGGCGCUGUGUGAGGAACUGUGUGAGGAAUGCUGUGAAGGAAACGCGACGAACCGCCCGAAAACGAAGACAGAACAGCAUGUGGAGACUCACACAGUGAAAUUUUCCUCCAAGAAGUACUGCAUGAACAUACCAGGAAAACCAAAAGAAUUCACAGGACCUUUGAAAGAAGUGGCUUGCCGCUGCAAACUCCAUGAGACAGCUGAAAAACUGGCAAAGCGGCUGAGAUCUUUGAACUCCCUUUGAACUUUGAGAAUGGUGACUGGAAGAUGACAAUUCAUGUUGUUUUCAGGAAAG
This 500-nucleotide long non-coding RNA is filed under the name Homo sapiens (human). RNAcentral's name for it is "non-protein coding lnc-MYOC-2:1". Lineage: Eukaryota; Metazoa; Chordata; Mammalia; Primates; Hominidae. The record is from RNAcentral.